Molecule: long non-coding RNA, 300 nt
Filed under: Gossypium barbadense (sea-island cotton)
Lineage: Eukaryota; Viridiplantae; Streptophyta; Magnoliopsida; Malvales; Malvaceae
Description: long non-coding RNA (GBAR_LNC007139)
Source: RNAcentral
AAUGAAGCUUGAAUGUAUCUUGAAUACUUGAAUGGACAUCUUGGAUAUGCAUGAAACAUGCAUAAAACAUCCCAAUAUAUGUUCUUCUUUAAUUAUGGUCCAUGAAUCUUCAAAUACAUGUACAUAAAAUAGCCUUCACUUGCAUGAAUGUCCCCAAUACAUGAAUUCCUUCAAAUGCCAUCCAUUGAACAUUAGUUGGGCAUGCAUCCUUCUAUACAAUGUAUUAAGCCAUGCAUGUACUUGCAUUAAUGGCUCCUUCAUGCAUUUGGUCACCUUGAGGAACUUAACUCUUGGCCAAAA